AACUUUCAACAACGGAUCACUUGGCUCUCGCAUCGAUGAAGAACGCAGCGAAAUGCGCUAAGUAAUGUGAAUUGCAGAAUUCAGUGAAUCAUCGACUCUUUGAACGCACCUUGCGCUCCUUGGUAUUCCGAGGAGCAUGCCUGUUUGCGUGUCUUGAAGUCAUCAACCUCUCCCGUUUCGUGCGGGCUGCCGGUUGGACGUGGGGGCAUGCUGCCGUGAGGCGGCUCCCCUCAAAUGCUUCGGUUGGACCUGUGGGUCGAACUCGACUGUGCGUUGUACCAUCCUCGCUCCUCCGAGACGUUCUCCACUUAUCGAGUCCUCCCUAGACCUGCCCGUGGGGUGGCGGUCAACAAAGCUCGACUUUGAAAUCUGACCUCAAAUCAGGUAGGACUACCCGCUGAACUUAAGCAUAUCAAUAAGCGGAGGCU
This 428-nucleotide unclassified non-coding RNA is filed under the name uncultured Trechispora. RNAcentral's name for it is "sequence contains ITS2". The stretch from base 1 to 154 matches the Rfam family "5.8S ribosomal RNA". The record is from RNAcentral. Lineage: Eukaryota; Fungi; Basidiomycota; Agaricomycetes; Polyporales; Polyporaceae.